This is a long non-coding RNA of Cyanistes caeruleus (blue tit), 1782 nucleotides long. Lineage: Eukaryota; Metazoa; Chordata; Aves; Passeriformes; Paridae. The record is from Ensembl.
CAAACAACCAGGAGCUGUUCAGGAGGAGCUGAUUCAUCACAAGCCAGACCUUGAGACAUCCUGCUCCUUAUCAACCCCGCAAGGCCAUCGGGAGAGGUGAGGCUGGAAACGAGCCCAGUGAAUUUAAUAAUUCACUCUGCAUUUGUGUGGCCAUCACUGAUGGAUGCUGAGGAGCUGCCAGAGACAGAAUCUGACUUCAGGGCAGGGCCAGAUCUUAAAAUAGGAGGAUGGGAAUAAAGGGUAACGUUUGUUUUCCCUUUUAUUUGCGUGCUGUAAAGGUUCACCUCCAGCCUGAGCUGUCAGUUGGGCACGAUGUGGUAACCCCAGCGUUCCAGGAAUCGUGCCUGAGGUGGCCCGUGGACCUGUGACCCCAAUCUGAGCUGACUUUAGCACACCUGUUUUUUUCUUGAGGAUUUUGCCGCUAUCCAAGCAUUUCUGGCAGCGUUUAUAAAGUGUCCAAAUGACUUCUGGUACGGUGGAGUCACCUCACAGGGUGUAAUACUUCAAUUCAGGAAAGAAAACAUUCCAAAUACAUCUACUUAAGCAUUCUUGUUCCAAGGGGAAGAAAGGAGAGAAUGUGAAGUGUGAAAACAAAACUCCCAGGCUCCUCUCAGACGAUGUUUUUUGCUCUUUCCACAUCCCAUUCUCCAGCCCAUCCCUUCCCAUUGUCCUUGGAGCAUCAUCAGCAGAGGGUUUGGGCCACAGGCUUGAUUCUCCUCCAGGAGCAUCCCUUGGGAAUGUCCAGCAGCCAGGUUUGGACAGCCAGGGCUUGGAAAGGGUGAGCUCGUGGGACUGAGCUGAGCCCUGGCUGGUGGCUGCUUCAAGGAGUGAAAGUCCUGUUGUGGUGGAGGCCAAGGAGAACAACUGGAGCUGCUCUUGGCCCCUGGAAUAACCAACAUCAGCUUUUCUCAUCCCAAGGAUUCCUGGUGACUCUGCAGCUGAGAGUGCCCUGAGGCUGUGACAUUGUUUUGUGACAUUGUUUGUCCAGGGCCUUUCCUAUUCCUGUCAGAAGUAGCUGGUGUUUUUUUGCUGCCUCCAGCAGGAAUAAUUCUGAUUUAAGGCCCUGGUCCUUUUUCAGGGUUCUUCAGGGAAAAGAUGAUUCUGGACCCAUUUCUAUCCAGCCACCAAUUUUUGCUCAGCUCGAUGCAAAUCCUUGGCUGGAGCUGCCAAGUAACGUCACCUCUGUCCCUUUGCCCCCUGUGCCUGGGGGACAGUAAAUCUGUAGGCAAACAUUAGGUCUUCCUGAAAAGCCUGGCAUUGCUGGGAGAAAAUCAAAAGCUGGAGGGUUUUUAUUAUCUCUCUCCUUAUUGUCUUUUCUUUUUAUUGCCUUUUGGAGUCACCCUGGAGAGCAAUCUCCAUCCCACAGCGUGGCCCUGCCAGACUUCCUCUGCUGUCACUGUGACCUAAGGAAUAGAGGCCAAGCCUUCCUCUGCUCCAAGUAUUAACAAACCCAGCUCCCUAAACUCCAGGGAUCCCUUUUUCUGUGUGUUCCAAAGCUCCAGUGGGACUCCCAGGGCUUUCUCAACCCUCCAAAACACGCCAUCACCCCAAACUCGAGUUUGGGAGUGGAAAGGUUUGGGUUCCCUGUCUGUGGUGGAAGUCUCUGAAAUCCUCUGCCAAUUCCUGACUGCCAGGGCGGUCUGCACGGGGGAGAGGCUCAGAAUCUGGCAGGAACCCCGAGAGAUGCUUCUUGCAGGAAAAAUAUGUGCUCUGCUCUCUCAUUAAGCACUUAUCUCCUGCUCCUGCUCUGAGGGAGGCCGGGGUUGGAGCGGAGGAGGCGCA